AUACGGAGGGUCCGAGCGUUAAUCGGAAUUACUGGGCGUAAAGCGCGCGUAGGUGGUUCAGUCAGUCAGAUGUGAAAGCCCCGGGCUCAACCUGGGAACUGCACCUGAUACUGCUGAGCUAGAGUACGGUAGAGGGCAGUGGAAUUUCCGGUGUAGCGGUGAAAUGCGUAGAGAUCGGAAGGAACACCAGUGGCGAAGGCGACUGCCUGGACUGAUACUGCCACUGAGGUGCGAAAGCGGGGGUAGCAAACAGGAUUAGAUACCCUGGUAGUCCACGCCGUAAACGAUGUCAACUAGCCGUUGGGGGACUUGAUCCUUUAGUGGCGAAGCUAACGCGAUAAGUUGACCGCCUGGGGAGUACGGCCGCAAGGUUAAAACUCAAAUGAAUUGACGGGG
This 396-nucleotide ribosomal RNA is filed under the name uncultured bacterium. RNAcentral describes it as "partial 16S ribosomal RNA". It matches the Rfam family "Bacterial small subunit ribosomal RNA", at positions 523 to 918 of the family's 1533-position model. The record is from RNAcentral.